Anguilla rostrata (American eel) is the source of this 1202-nucleotide long non-coding RNA. RefSeq lists it as uncharacterized. The record is from RefSeq and is a predicted model, not a curated record. Lineage: Eukaryota; Metazoa; Chordata; Actinopteri; Anguilliformes; Anguillidae. The transcript has 3 exons.
CAAAAAAAUGAAUGAGGUGGGUUGUGCACUUUAUACUAUUUUUUUAUUUUCAGUUUACUUAAAAUACAUGUCUUUGUUAAGUUAAAAUAUUUUUUUCUAAUAAAGUCCAUGUAAUUGUGUCUCUCGUUAUCUGUACAAAAUAUUAAUGUGUUGUUUAAUCACAAAAUAUUUAAGUUAAGUGAAUUAGGAUUGAGAUACUUGCAUCCAGAAGGUGGCCGUAAUACAACGCCAGAUGCCGUAAAACCCCAAAGAACAAGAUGAUUAAGAUGCUUCAGACUGCACAUGCGCAAGGCCACUUGACUGCUCCUAGUUUCCCUCCAAAUCUUCAUUGAGUUAAUUUUGUUGGUCUUCGUUUUCUGAGUUGAAAGAGAUAUCAGGCUUAUUUUGACUGAUCCCGGUCAGCCGUUUCAGGGCUGUUGAAGUUCCAUCAUCUUCUUGCUGCUGCUUCAUAUUAAAAGAUUUCCAUCGGCGAACCAGCGGGAGGCUUUUAUUGUGAAGCAGGUCCUGAAUGAUGGUUCAUUGAUUCGUGCUCCCUCCUGUCUGGCCAAGGCGCUGUACUCAUAACAGGUACGAUCACAACUAGCUACUUAAUUACUGCGAAUCGGGUUGUCAGUAUUUUUAUUUUUAGAAACAUUUAUUAGAUGACAGCUUCAUUCUCUUGCUCUCAUUUUGAAUAGCUUAUUUAUUUUUACAUCUCUAGUUCUCUUAAAAGCAAGUAAUGAAUUUCAUUAGUUGAUGGCUCCUGUUAACUCCUGUUGAAUUUCUGAUCCUGGCUGUGAUAGCCUUUAUCUGCUCUCUCCUUCAUUGAUGUGGUGUAGGCGGCACUGCUGAGCUUGCGCGUGGUAUGUUAACAGUCAGACUUUUCUAAAGAAAACUGUUUUACAAGUUAAGCUUCCUUUACUGAUAUCACUUUGUUGUUGUUUUUUCCCAGAUUUGAAUAAAGGUUGCAGUUCAAAGACCUCAACUAGGGGCCAGUUACUUAAACAUUAUAGGUUAAAACAUCCACAUUAUGGGCGCAGGCACCCAUAUCCUUGCCCAUAUAUUAGUUGUCCAUGUACAUUUAAGUCAUGGAAUGCGCUCAGGUCACAUAUCUGUAGAGUCCAUAACAGAGAGACAUCACAGCAAACAUUGUCAUUUCCCACAUUCAACUGUCAUGUUUGUGGAUUCUCUGAAAUUGCCUCUGAAAAGGAGUAUUUUACUCA